Phthorimaea operculella (potato tuberworm) is the source of this 72-nucleotide non-coding RNA. NCBI's taxonomy places the organism in Eukaryota, Metazoa, Arthropoda, Insecta, Lepidoptera, Gelechiidae. The record is from the annotation of a GenBank genome assembly.
GCAUCGAUAGCUCAGUGGCAGAGCGGUGGGGUGUUUACCCAUGCGUCCCGGGUUGGACCCCCGGUCGACAUG